UACGGAGGAUCCAAGCGUUAUCCGGAUUUAUUAGGUUUAAAGGGUUCGUAGGCGGGAUAUUAAGUCAGUGGUGAAAUUUUGCGGCUCAACCGUAAAACUGCCAUUGAUACUGGUAUUCUUGAGUAUAGUUGAGGUAGGCGGAAUGUAUCAUGUAGCGGUGAAAUGCAUAGAUAUGAUACAGAACACCGAUUGCGAAGGCAGCUUACUAAACUAUUACUGACGCUGAGGAACGAAAGCGUGGGGAGCAAACAGG
RNAcentral lists this ribosomal RNA (253 nucleotides) under uncultured bacterium. Its description in RNAcentral is "partial 16S ribosomal RNA". It matches the Rfam family "Bacterial small subunit ribosomal RNA", at positions 524 to 776 of the family's 1533-position model. The record is from RNAcentral.